AGAGUUUGAUCCUGGCUCAGGAUGAACGCUGGCGGCGUGCCUAAUACAUGCAAGUGAAACGGGUAUCUUCGGAUACCAGUCGCGGACGGGUGAGUAAUACAUAGGCAACCUGCCUUUAUGAGGGGGAUAACCGAGGGAAACUUUGGCUAAUACCGCAUGAAGACUCUAAGGCAUCUUAGAGGGAUAAAAGUUGGGAAACAACGCAUGAAGAUGGGCUUAUGGCGCAUUAGCUAGUUGGUGAGAUAGAAGCCCACCAAGGUAAUGAUGCGUAGCCGACCUGAGAGGGUGAACGGCCACAUUGGGACUGAGACACGGCCCAAACUCCUACGGGAGGCAGCAGUAGGGAAUUUUCGGCAAUGGGGGGAACCCUGACCGAGCAACGCCGCGUGAAGGAAAGAAGGUUUUCGGAUUGUAAACUUCUGUUAUAAGGGAAGAACGGAUUGGAUAGGGAAUGAUCUGAUAGUGACGGUACCUUAUUAGAAAGCCACGGCUAACUACGUGCCAGCAGCUGC
RNAcentral lists this ribosomal RNA (512 nucleotides) under uncultured bacterium. Its description in RNAcentral is "bacterial SSU rRNA". It matches the Rfam family "Bacterial small subunit ribosomal RNA", at positions 8 to 518 of the family's 1533-position model. The record is from RNAcentral.